GGGUGCAUGGCCUAAUGGUAAGGCGUCAGAUUUCGGUUUAUCUGUAACCUGCUCUGAAGAUUGCAGGUUCGAUCCCUGCUGUGCUCG
Non-coding RNA from Annulohypoxylon maeteangense, 87 nucleotides. The record is from the annotation of a RefSeq genome assembly. NCBI's taxonomy places the organism in Eukaryota, Fungi, Ascomycota, Sordariomycetes, Xylariales, Hypoxylaceae.